UUUAAUUAUUUAGUAAUAAUAUAUUAGUUUUAAUUAAUUUUGUUAAAUUAAAUUAGUUUUAAGGUGUUAAUUUUAUGCUUAUUAUUUUUUCUUAAAGAUUUUAUUUGCAGUUUUUAGUAUUGUUUAUUUGAAGAAAUUUAGAUUCAGAUAAUUUUUUAGGAUUAUAUAAAGUUGUGCCAGCAUAUGCGGUUAGACAUCUAAUUCAAAUUAAUUUUUUUAGUUUUAGAUUUAUUAAUUACUUUAUUGAAAUUAUAUUUUUUAUUUUUAGGUUAAAUUUUAUUUUAAAUUAUAUUUUUGGUUUAAGAAAUUAUUUUAAAUUCAUUAUUGAAACUAGGAUUAGAUACCCUAUUAUUAUGAAUGUACUUAAAUCUAUAUUAUUAAUGGUUAUGUUCCUUAAAAUAAAUAAAUUUGGCGGUAACCUAUUCUUUUUAGAGGAACCUGUUCUAUAAUUGAUAAUCCACGUUGUAUAUCACUUUAUUUUAAUGUUUGUAUAUCUCUGUCAUUGAAUGUCUUAUUAGGGUAUUUUCUUAAUAUUAUUAUUUAAAUAAUGUCAAGUCAAGGUGCAGCUAUUUUAAAGGUUGAAAUGGGUUACAUUUAAUUUGUAUUUAUAGGAUUAAUUAGUGUAUUAUUAGUUAUGAAAUAGGAUUUGAAAGUAAAUUAUAAUAUCUUUUAUUUUUGAUUUUGGCUCUGGGUUAUGUACAUAUCGCCCGUCACUCUCAUUUAUUUUAUAUGGGAUAAGUCGUAACAAAGUAAUUUUACUGGAAAGUGAUGUUGGAAGGAU
This 781-nucleotide non-coding RNA is filed under the name Malcus inconspicuus. The record is from RNAcentral. Lineage: Eukaryota; Metazoa; Arthropoda; Insecta; Hemiptera; Malcidae.